RNAcentral lists this ribosomal RNA (668 nucleotides) under uncultured bacterium. RNAcentral's name for it is "bacterial SSU rRNA". It matches the Rfam family "Bacterial small subunit ribosomal RNA", at positions 842 to 1510 of the family's 1533-position model. The record is from RNAcentral.
UGUGCCGGAGCUAACGCGUUAAGCGUGCCGCCUGGGAAGUACGGUCGCAAGACUAAAACUCAAAGAAAUUGACGGGGACCCGCACAAGCGGUGGAGUAUGUGGCUUAAUUCGAUGCAACGCGAAGAACCUUACCAAGGCUUGACAUGGAUUUCUAAGCACGUGAAAGCGUGUGACCCUUCGGGGAACUUCCACAGGUGCUGCAUGGCUGUCGUCAGCUCGUGUCGUGAGAUGUUGGGUUAAGUCCCGCAACGAGCGCAACCCUUGUGACUAGUUGCCAGCGGGUAAUGCCGGGAACUCUAGUCAGACUGCCCAGAUCAACUGGGAGGAAGGUGGGGACGACGUCAGGUCAGUAUGGCCCUUACGCCUUGGGCUGCACACGUACUACAAUGCCCAGUACAAUGAGAACCGAGACCGCGAGGUGGAGGAAAUCUGCAAAACUGGGCCCAGUUCGGAUUGGAGGCUGCAACUCGCCUCCAUGAAGUUGGAAUCGCUAGUAAUGGCGCAUCAUCUACGGCGCCGUGAAUACGUUCCCGGGUCUUGUACACACCGCCCGUCACAUCAUGGAAGCCGGUCGCACCCGAAGUGCCUGUACCAACCGCAAGGGGGUAGGGUCCUAAGGUGUAGCUGGUAACUGGGAUGAAGUCGUAACAAGGUAACCAAGGGCGAA